This 441-nucleotide ribosomal RNA is filed under the name uncultured bacterium. RNAcentral's name for it is "partial 16S ribosomal RNA". It matches the Rfam family "Bacterial small subunit ribosomal RNA", at positions 338 to 795 of the family's 1533-position model. The record is from RNAcentral.
CCUACGGGCGGCAGCAGUGGGGAAUAUUGCACAAUGGGGGAAACCCUGAUGCAGCGACGCCGCGUGAGUGAAGAAGUAUUUCGGUAUGUAAAGCUCUAUCAGCAGGAACGAGACAAGACGGUACCUGACUAAGAAGCCCCGGCUAACUACGUGCCAGCAGCCGCGGUAAUACGUAGGGGGCAAGCGUUAUCCGGAAUCACUGGGUGGAAAGGGAGCGUAGACGGCUGUGCAAGCCUGAAGUGAAAGGCGGGGGCCCAACCCCUGGACUGCUUUGGGAACUGUACGGCUGGAGUGCAGGAGAGGUAAGUGGAAUUCCUAGUGUAGCGGUGAAAUGCGUAGAUAUUAGGAGGAACACCAGUGGCGAAGGCGGCUUACUGGACUGUAACUGACGUUGAGGCUCGAAAGCGUGGGGAGCAAACAGGAUUAGAUACCCCUGUAGUC